UCAUCUUUCAAUAAAGAAAGAAAUCAAGAACUCCCUUCAUACGGAUCUUAAAAAUGGCAUUGCCAAACCAAAUAGCUCCACCUUGAGUGGUGUUCAUCUAUAAUUCUUGAUUCAUCUUCAAUCCUACUGAAAGUCUAAAACCCUAAAAUCCGUAUUCAUGUAUAUGUACAUCAAUAUGUAGGUUUUGAAGAGGGGUUUUCGCAUUCAUGGUCAGCCAAGGGUUAGGAUGAAGAUGCAGUGAGAUGAUGACACAUAUAAAGGGUACUGUUGAAGCAGCAGGGUGUGUGGGGAUUCAUUCAUACAUCCACUUGUACGGUUUUGUUGUAGGUAUCUCCACAACAACAAGUUGACGGGAUCCAUUCCUCCAGAGCUCGGGAACAUGUCAAAGCUCCAUUACUUGGAACUGAACGAUAAUCAGCUCACUGGUCAUAUUCCACCUGAACUCGGAAAGCUUACCGACUUGUUUGACAUUAAUAUUGCGGGAAAUAAACUUGAGGGACACAUACAUGAUAAUCUUAGCUCAUGCACUAAUCUCAACAGCCUCAACGUGCAUGGAAACAAGUUAAAGGGUACGAUCCCUGCUCAACUUCAGAGGCUAGAAAGCAUGACAUACUUGUAAGUACCCCAUUCUCGAUCGCAUUUAUGAUGCUCAAAAACAUGUUUACGAAAUUUAUGUUUUUUAUACGAUUGGGAAUCUUUCGUCAAACAACAUUGUGGGUCCUAUUCCGAUUGAGUUGUCUCGGAUUGGUAACUUGGAUACAUUGGACCUUUCAAACAACAAAAUUAGCAGGCUGAUCCCUUCUUCGCUUUUCAUCGCUUGCGCUUUCAUAUAAGUCAUAGUAAAUACCGUUACAGUUAGUACUCUAUUAAGCUUUUGAUUAUAUGAUAUUGGUAGACCAGUAAGAAAAUAUUAUGUAAAUUUUCUUAACUUAUAAACAAGUAAUAUGUAAUUACAAUAUAUUUUUUGGAACAAUUGGGUGUGUUUUCCUUUAUCCUCCAGGUAGGGGUUGGUUUGGGGAUUGGGGGAGGGUCUGUUUGGCUAUGGUUAUAGUUGGCUGAUGCGUAUCAUGUUCCCGCCAUGUAUCAAUUUAAACUUCUGAUUCAUCAGUGAAUAUAAAAACAUUAAUAUGACCGGGUGAAUCUAAAAGCUACGUGCAGUUAGAUAGAUAGGAGUUAAAGAGAAGAAGUGAUGUACUGAAAUGUAAUUUUGCCAUAUGUAUCAAUUUUAAAGCAACAUGUACAAGGUGCUUAAAGCCAUUGUUCUCCAAAAUUUUAAGACAUUGUAGGGUUAAUCUUGGGAUUUCACAUGGUAUUCUAAAAGAACCCUAAUAAAAGCGUGGAAUAAUUUGACGAUCAAACUGGCGUCUCUUGAUUUCCCCUGAAUUGAAUUGGUGAUUCGUCGCUUCACAGUUUAUCGCUUCACUAAUUAAUGCUUUCAUCGCCAUCUCCUCCUUCCAUUCCAAUUUAAAACUCCUGAUGAUGUUUGAAGCCGAGAAGAAACAAGAAACGGGGACGACGAUGAUGAUGUGCACUCGGUUAUUCUGCACAUGAUUACUGGAAGAAGGUGAGAUUGUUUUGGAUGUGGAGGUUGUUGGUAAACAAGGGGCAGGGGGUGAUGUUGAGAAGUGGAUUGAUGUGAUUCGGAUCAGAUUGUAGAUCGUUUAAUGGAGUCUGUUCUAGGCUCGAGGAUAUGCUGGAUACUUUGUCGACAUUGCUUUCGGAAAAUUCUGUGUUGAAAGUUGGCAUUUGCUGCUAUUCAGUUAGUUAAUUCGGUAUUUUGUCAUGUAACUUGAAUGAUGUUUGUUCAAGUAAUAGCGUAUUGGCAGAGGGAGUACGCGAUGGAAGAUAUACUGACACAACUGAAGAAAGAAAUGUCGGCCCCACACAACCGGAAGUUUGUUCAGCCACCAGAAGGUUGAUGUGUCUGUUUUCAAGCAGCCACAAUGCAAAAGUGAAAUUUCAACUUCAGAAGUGUUCACCAACCUGGAUUCUUCACUGGGGUUGCAUCUAUAAUGGAAACAAUGUUAGUGGUCGCUGGCAGUAGUGUUGGGGCAGUGUCAAGGGGAUUUAGGGGGUGAUGAUUGUGGGAAGUGUGUGAAAAGUGCAGUGCAGAGGGCUGAAGUGGAGUGUGGGGGUUCAACUUCAUCUUCAUCUUCAUCAGAUUCUUCGUAUUCUUCAUCGUCAGAUUCUUCGUAUUAUUCACCAUCUUCUUCUUCAUCAGGAACAGAUUCAAAUACAGGGAAGACAGUGGCAAUUAUCUUGGGAAGGGCAGCAGGAGUUGGAUUUUUAGUAAUAUUUGUAUUAUUUGCUAAAAAUGCAGCAAAGAAACAUGAUGUUGGCAAACCCAGGUUUGUGGUCUGAUGGAGUGUUGGUCUAGAAGUGUUCUGUCUUGGCACUGGACGAGGGAGGCGAGGCUACUAAAUGAUUCACUGACUUCCAAUUAUAGAUGUAGCUUGGUUUGUAAAGAGUACUUGAUGUUCACUUGGUCUCAGUGACGUGUAUAGUGUACAUAUUCAAAGGAAGCUUAAAUAUCAUUGAGUAUCAUUGGUUUAUAGGUGAAACUAGAUGAGAAAUACUCAAUUUGUU
RNAcentral lists this long non-coding RNA (2586 nucleotides) under Helianthus annuus (common sunflower). Lineage: Eukaryota; Viridiplantae; Streptophyta; Magnoliopsida; Asterales; Asteraceae. The record is from RNAcentral.